Molecule: long non-coding RNA, 449 nt
Organism: Mugil cephalus (flathead mullet)
Lineage: Eukaryota; Metazoa; Chordata; Actinopteri; Mugiliformes; Mugilidae
Exons: 2
Source: RefSeq, a predicted model, not a curated record
UAAGAAAGUAACUAUUCAUCACAGCUGGCACUAACACCCAAUCAUCUCCAGAACGCAGCAAACAGCACGAAGUCUCAUGUGAUUAAUGUUAAAAGAUGCAUCCAGCUCUAAAAUAAAGCUGCUGCUAUCAGCUCACUGAUCUACUUGAGCCCGUGCUCUUUGUUUACCGAGUGCCUCCAACGUGAGAACUUCCGCAGUCACGACGCACUGAUGACGCGCAGUGACAAAGCCUUUCAUUGGCCCUCAGACCAUAUUUCUCUUUUGGUUCCACAUUUUUUUCUGUCUAUGUUAUUAUGCGUUUCUUUCGUGGCCCCGGGGCCUCGAAGGUUGGAGGCGGUUCAACACAAACACCUUCUGCUUCUGAUAAAAGGACUCGUUCUGUCUCGUUUCCUGGUGUGUUGAUCCACGUUUUUUUUAUUUAUUUUUUUUUAAUAAAUCUUUUAAGCCCC